CUUGGUCAUUUAGAGGAAGUAAAAGUCGUAACAAGGUCUCCGUAGGUGAACCUGCGGAGGGAUCAUUACCGAGUGAGGGCGCUUGCGCCCGACCUCCCAACCCUUUGAUUUAUCAUACCUCAUUAUGCCUCGGGGGCACCGGCGACGGUCCCCCGGCGGCACCCUCCAAACCCCGCAUCAAUUGUCGUCUGAUUAUAAAGUUAAUUCAAUUAAAACUUUCAACAACGGAUCUCUUGGUUCUGGCAUCGAUGAAGAACGCAGCGAAAUGCGAUAAGUAAUGUGAAUUGCAGAAUUCAGUGAAUCAUCGAAUCUUUGAACGCACAUUGCGCCCUUUGGCAUUCCGAAGGGCAUGCCUGUUCGAGCGUCAUUACACCAAUCAAGCCUGGCUUGGUAUUGGGCGACGGGGACCGCAAGGCCCCCGCGCCUUAAUGACACCGGCGGGACGGACCGUAUCUCAGCGUUGUGGUAAAAAGCCGCUGGCGAGACGGGCUCGGCCGUGCCGUUAAACAACCCCAUCUAAAGGU
This 524-nucleotide ribosomal RNA is filed under the name uncultured fungus. RNAcentral describes it as "eukaryotic LSU rRNA". The stretch from base 214 to 367 matches the Rfam family "5.8S ribosomal RNA". Lineage: Eukaryota; Fungi. The record is from RNAcentral.